GACGAACGCUGGCGGCGUGCUUAACACAUGCAAGUCGAACGGAAAGGCGAUGCUUUUGUGGGGUGCACGAGUGGCGAACGGGUGAGUAAAACGUGAGUAAACUGCCCUUGAAAUAGGGAUAAAUUCAGGAAAAUGGGGCUAAUACCGGAUAGGAGAUCCUGCUGCAUGGUGGGGGAUGGAAAGUGUCGGCGGUGGUGGAUGGACUCGCGGCUUAUCAGCUUGUUGGGGGGGUAGUGGCUUACCAAGGCUAUGACGGGUAGCCGGCCUGAGAGGGUGACCGGCCACAUUGGGCCUGAGGUACGGCCCAGACUCCUACGGUAGGCAGCAGUGGGGAAUAUUGCACAAUGGGCGGAAGCCUGAUGCAGCAACGCCGCGUGCGGGAUGACGGCCUUCGGGUUGUAAACCGCUUUCGCCUGUGACGAAGCGUGAGUGACGGUAAUGGGUAAAGAAGCAACGGCUAACUACGUG
This 468-nucleotide ribosomal RNA is filed under the name uncultured bacterium. Its description in RNAcentral is "partial 16S ribosomal RNA". It matches the Rfam family "Bacterial small subunit ribosomal RNA", at positions 28 to 507 of the family's 1533-position model. The record is from RNAcentral.